AUGUGUGUAGGAGGAAUUGAUUUACUCCAGUGGAAACAAGGAAACACUUGAUUUAAAUCAAUUUUAAA
This 68-nucleotide non-coding RNA is filed under the name unclassified sequences. Its description in RNAcentral is "Cyano-1 RNA". It matches the Rfam family "Cyano-1 RNA". The record is from RNAcentral. RNAcentral also lists the same sequence under 1 other name.